This 427-nucleotide long non-coding RNA is filed under the name Cricetulus griseus (Chinese hamster). RNAcentral describes it as "lncRNA (ENSCGRG00015032121.1)". Lineage: Eukaryota; Metazoa; Chordata; Mammalia; Rodentia; Cricetidae. The record is from RNAcentral.
CUUUCCCCCAGGAAGUUGGCUGUACACUGACCUUCAGUGAGCCAGGGAGCCCUGUGCCAGCAAAGAAGUAGGUAUCACCCAGAAGCUCCAGGGCCUUUGAGGAACAACAGACUCUAUGACUAAAUGAGUCCACAACUCUUCUUAUCCCAAAGCCCUUGUUUGAGCGUCCGUUUCUUCAUCUGUUGAAUGGGCACAGCUCUAUCCACCUCACCAGUUGAUUUGGAGGGUGAGACAACCUUACCCCCAUGGAUGACUGGAUUUAAUGAGGAAGUGCUGUCAGCAGAAGAGAAAGGAAAGCCUUAGCUAACACCCACUCCUGGAAACCAGUCCCAAGUCCUUUCCCUGGGAGGUGAGGCCAGGUAGUGAAGGCCUUUCACCCUAGCUACUCCAGAGCUGAGGUAGGAGGCCAAUGAGUUCAAAGCCUGCU